RNAcentral lists this ribosomal RNA (165 nucleotides) under uncultured bacterium. RNAcentral describes it as "partial 16S rRNA". It matches the Rfam family "Bacterial small subunit ribosomal RNA", at positions 355 to 511 of the family's 1533-position model. The record is from RNAcentral.
UAGGGAAUCUUCCACAAUGGACGAAAGUACUGAUGGAGCAACGCCGCGUGUGUGAUGAAGGGUUUCGGCUCGUAAAACACUGUUGUAAGAGAAGAAUGACAUUGAGAGUAACUGUUCAAUGUGUGACGGUAUCUUACCAGAAAGGAACGGCUAAAUACGUGCCAC